UCAAGGCUGAACUUGUACAAGUGGUUGGGGCUGCUUUGCCCAAACGAGAGACUUCAAAAGGAAGUUCUCCCUGGCAUUCUUAUUUGAUGGCAUACCUGGGAGUGAUACCAGGUCUUACUUCCUGAUGUCCCAGCAGAAUAAGGAAUGACAAAGAGUGCUGACAUCUACCAUAGUGUGAGAUCUUGCUGCACCCAGGACAGAGGAGACCGUGAACAGCAAAAUACGGAGCCUCCUCAUGAACUACAGAUGAGAACUGCCUAGAUGCAGAGCAAUCCUACCAUACACCUAGAGCUUUAGAUGCCAUCAGUCACCACAUUGCACUGUAGAACUGUGGCAGGAAGAUCAUGACCGGCUGGAGAAACUUAUUCCAGUGAAACAAAGAGUCUGAAUUCUGAACUUCUCUAACUUGCCUGAGCUGGCCUUGAACCUCUGCUAUAGCCCAG
Mus caroli (Ryukyu mouse) is the source of this 443-nucleotide non-coding RNA. NCBI's taxonomy places the organism in Eukaryota, Metazoa, Chordata, Mammalia, Rodentia, Muridae. The record is from RefSeq and is a predicted model, not a curated record.